This 274-nucleotide ribosomal RNA is filed under the name uncultured bacterium. RNAcentral's name for it is "partial 16S ribosomal RNA". It matches the Rfam family "Bacterial small subunit ribosomal RNA", at positions 523 to 796 of the family's 1533-position model. The record is from RNAcentral.
CUACGGAGGGUGCAAGCGUUGUUCGGAAUUAUUGGGCGUAAAGCGCGUGUAGGCGGUCUGUUAAGUCUGGUGUGAAAGCCCUGGGCUCAACCCAGGAAGUCCAUUGGAUACUGGCAGACUUGAGUAUGGGAGAGGAAAGCGGAAUUCCGAGUGUAGGAGUGAAAUCCGUAGAUAUUCUGAGGAACACCAGUGGCGAAGGCGGCUUUCUGGACCAAUUCUGACGCUGAGACGCGAAAGCGUGGGGAGCAAACAGGAUUAGAAACCCUAGUAGUCC